Molecule: unclassified non-coding RNA, 404 nt
Filed under: soil metagenome
Description: partial contains 5.8S ribosomal RNA, internal transcribed spacer 2, and large subunit ribosomal RNA
Rfam family: 5.8S ribosomal RNA (bases 1-122)
Source: RNAcentral
GAUGAAGAACGCAGCAAAAUGCGAUACUUGGUGUGAAUUGCAGAAUCCCGUGAACCAUCGAGUUUUUGAACGCAAGUUGCGCCCGAAGCCUUUUGGCCGAGGGCACGUCUGCCUGGGCGUCACGCAUCGCGUCGCCCCCCACAACUCUCCGUAAAGGGAACUUGUGUUUUGGGGGCGGAUAUUGGUCUCCCGUGCUCAUGGCGUGGUUGGCCGAAAUAGGAGUCCCUCCGGUGGACGCACGAACUAGUGGUGGUCGUAAAAACCCUCGUCUUUUGUUUCGUGCCGUUAGUUGCGAGGGAAACUCUUUAAAAACCCAAAUGUGUCGUCUCUUGACGGCGCUUCGACCGCGACCCCAGGUCAGGCGGGACUACCCGCUGAGUUUAAGCAUAUCAAUAAGCGGAGGA